Molecule: ribosomal RNA, 429 nt
Filed under: Chloroflexota bacterium
Lineage: Bacteria; Bacillati; Chloroflexota
Description: Chloroflexi bacterium partial 16S ribosomal RNA
Rfam family: Bacterial small subunit ribosomal RNA
Source: RNAcentral
UGGGGAAUAUUGCACAAUGGGCGCAAGCCUGAUGCAGCCAUGCCGCGUGUGUGAAGAAGGCCUUCGGGUUGUAAAGCACUUUCAGCGGGGAGGAAGGCGUUAAGGUUAAUAACCUUGGCGAUUGACGUUACCCGCAGAAGAAGCACCGGCUAACUCCGUGCCAGCAGCCGCGGUAAUACGGAGGGUGCAAGCGUUAAUCGGAAUUACUGGGCGUAAAGCGCACGCAGGCGGUCUGUCAAGUCGGAUGUGAAAUCCCCGGGCUCAACCUGGGAAGUGCAUUCGAAACUGGCAGGCUAGAGUCUUGUAGAGGGGGGUAGAAUUCCAGGUGUAGCGGUGAAAUGCGUAGAGAUCUGGAGGAAUACCGGUGGCGAAGGCGGCCCCCUGGACAAAGACUGACGCUCAGGUGCGAAAGCGUGGGGAGCAAACAGG